CUCCCAUCCUGCCUGCCUGGGCAGGGGCAGCAGCUCCUCUCUCAGGGCGAGGGCUCCCCUCGGCAGGAGAUCCACAACCUCCACCUCCUCCAAACAUUUGCAGCUCUUGGGAGCAGCGGCAGCAGAAAAGAAAUCUCUUUUAAAAAACAAAUUGAAGCCAAGGAGGGGAAGGAGGGAAUGGAGGGCAGCAGGGGGGACACACAUGUGGAAAUUUAAUGUGAGAGCUGCUCCUCAGAAUGAAGAUGUUGGGUUUGGCAUGAAGAUUGCAAUCAGCUGGUUGCUUUGACACUGCUCGAGCCUUUCAGUGACUAAGACAAGCCUGAAGGAUUAGGAUGUCAAGCCUGUCCUGUCAUCUUCAGGGAGCGGGGGAAUGGAAGGAGUUGCCUUUUUUGGUUACGUCUUCACAAGGCCCAGAGGACAGAAACCUUGCUGGUUAAUUAAGGCCAACCUCAGCCUGUCACUGAUCAACAAAGUCCUGCUUUUUGAGACAAGCUGUGCGGCGGGGCUCCACGGAUAAUCGCCCUGCGCGGGGAGGAAUUUCUCUCCGGAGCCCUUCCCCUGCAGCCCCCGUGCCGGCCCAACGGAUGGCUGCACGCUUUGGGAAAGUCAGGGGCCUCCUCCCAGGCAGCUGUCAGGCAAAGCAAAAGGACCUGGAAUAAGCUGACUUCAGCAAACCAUAUUUAGCAGGUUAAAGGCAAUUUAUGGAAAAAAAUCCAGUCUCCCCCCUAGUGGUGGCAAGGAAAAUCCAGCAGGAGCUGCCUGAUCGAUCCCUAAAAACUGCUUUACUGUUGCCCUUGGGUCCACUUCGCCAUGCAGCUGGAAAUAAAUACAGGGAUAUUGUAAUGAGUUUUGCUGUGCAACUGGAGGACCCCGGAGCUCAGCUGCUCGGGAUUUCCAUUGUUCUUUCUGAGAAGCCGUGUUUCCAAAUGGAGCCACAUGGAUGCUGACACUGCAGUCUUUGAAGGCAUUGAGGCUUUUCUUUCUCCAGGGUGUUUUUAUACUCCUGCUACAUCUGGGGAAACUGAGGCACUGAGUAGUGUCCUGGUCAGUGAGAACAUCUGCAGCAGGACAAGCUUCUCAUCCCCUGUCUCAGCCUCUGUUCCAUUAAGGUAGGUGUGAGGCUGCCCCACUUGUUUCUUCCUGGCUGAGGAGCAGAUACUGUAUUUCCACACUUUUUUGCCUUACUACUUUCCUACAGUGGCAUCCAGCUGAGAAAUCCUCCUCUCUGCAAAGUUCCCUCAGCCAUUUUCACCACAGCUGUGGCUCAGCACAAAGCCCCCCACUACUGCAAAGAAAUGCACCUCACUGCCCAGGUGCCACAAACACCAGCACCCACCCUCAGCCUAUAAAAAAGGCAGUCUCAAGAAGUCUUUAUGCCUCAGCUUAAAAGGAUAACUCUUAAUUCAUGUCAUUGGGAAUAAAUGUCCCUUUCCCCCCCAUCAUCAUAACCUUGCAAAGCCCUGCUGGAACAGUCAGCCUGGGUAGGAGAAAUCAGCAUCAAAGGACAGAGAUUGUGGGACCUCCUGCUGAUGUGUGAGGGGAAAGAACCCAGAUUGCAGGGACUACUUCAUCCUGCAAGAGGAUGGUGGCAGGUAGAGCAGAUGAGUGGAUAUUCCAACCUGCUCAGCCUGGCAUCUUUUCCUUGAGCUCUGUCCUUUUCCCAACUGUUUCACUUCAUCGUCUCUAAAUGUCCGGUUGUGGUUCUUUCUGUGUUAACAUUUGCCAAUCAUUUCUAGCCAAGAAAAAAUAGAUAUUAAAAUGAUUCAUGUUAAAUAGCUUCUGGGCAGCCUUUUGCAACAGUGAGGGACUUGGGGUCUUUUUACUAUAAUUACUUUGAAAUGUGACUUCCUUUUCCUGGAAAGGAGGGCUGGUCCAGUGAAUGAAAUACCCAGCUGGAGGCUGUAAAAGUUUUUGUUCAGUGACUGUUUCAACCACAAACUAUUCCAUAUAAAAUCAAGAAAUUUAUUUCAAUUCCCUUGUGCCUCAGUUUCCCCAGCCCUAAUUGUUCAUGAUUGCCUUUUUUAAUAAAUAGUUUUGAUGAAACAACAUUCCUCAGUGGAAGUUGCUCAUU
Molecule: long non-coding RNA, 2071 nt
Organism: Passer domesticus (house sparrow)
Lineage: Eukaryota; Metazoa; Chordata; Aves; Passeriformes; Passeridae
Exons: 4
Source: RefSeq, a predicted model, not a curated record